This 254-nucleotide ribosomal RNA is filed under the name uncultured bacterium. RNAcentral describes it as "partial 16S ribosomal RNA". It matches the Rfam family "Bacterial small subunit ribosomal RNA", at positions 524 to 776 of the family's 1533-position model. The record is from RNAcentral.
UACGUAGGGUGCGAGCGUUGUCCGGAAUUAUUGGGCGUAAAGAGCUCGUAGGCGGUCUGUCGCGUCGGUCGUGAAAACUUGGGGCUUAACCCUGAGCUUGCGGUCGAUACGGGCAUGACUGGAGUUCGGCAGGGGAGACUGGAAUUCCUGGUGUAGCGGUGAAAUGCGCAGAUAUCAGGAGGAACACCGGUGGCGAAGGCGGGUCUCUGGACAGUUCCUGACGCUGAGGCACGAAGGCCAGGGGAGCAAACGGG